AACCUGGUUGAUCCUGCCAGUAGUCAUAUGCUUGUCUCAAAGACUAAGCCAUGCAUGUCUAAGUAUAAGUGUUAUACAGCGAAACUGCGAAUGGCUCAUUAAAACAGUUAUAGUUUAUUUGGUAAUCGAAAUUACAUGGAUAACCGUGGUAUCUUCUAGAGCUAAUACAUGCAGGUUAGCCCGACUUUGCGGAAGGGCUGUAUUUAUUAGAUAACAGACCAAUAUUCCUCGUGUCUAUUGUGGUGACUCAUAGUAACUUUUCGGAUCGCAUGGGU
This 275-nucleotide ribosomal RNA is filed under the name uncultured marine eukaryote. RNAcentral describes it as "partial 18S ribosomal RNA". It matches the Rfam family "Eukaryotic small subunit ribosomal RNA", at positions 1 to 278 of the family's 1831-position model. The record is from RNAcentral.